RNAcentral lists this ribosomal RNA (495 nucleotides) under uncultured bacterium. RNAcentral describes it as "partial 16S ribosomal RNA". It matches the Rfam family "Bacterial small subunit ribosomal RNA", at positions 28 to 507 of the family's 1533-position model. The record is from RNAcentral.
GAUGAACGCUGGCGGCGUGCCUAAUACAUGCAAGUCGAACGCUGAAGGAGGAGCUUGCUCUUCUGGAUGAGUUGCGAACGGGUGAGUAACGCGUAGGUAACCUGCCUGGUAGCGGGGGAUAACUAUUGGAAACGAUAGCUAAUACCGCAUGACAACAGUUAUUGCAUGAUAACUGUUUAAAAGGGGCAACUGCUCCACUACCAGAUGGACCUGCGUUGUAUUAGCUAGUUGGUGAGGUAACGGCUCACCAAGGCGACGAUACAUAGCCGACCUGAGAGGGUGGUCGGCCACACUGGGACUGAGACACGGCCCAGACUCCUACGGGAGGCAGCAGUAGGGAAUCUUCGGCAAUGGACGGAAGUCUGACCGAGCAACGCCGCGUGAGUGAAGAAGGGUUUCGGAUCGUAAAGCUCUGUUGUAAGAGAAGAACGAGUGUGAGAGUGGAAAGUUCACACUGUGACGGUAGCUUACCAGAAAGGGACGGCUAACUACGUG